AACGAACGCUGGCGGCAUGCCUAACACAUGCAAGUCGAACGAGACCUUCGGGUCUAGUGGCGCACGGGUGCGUAACGCGUGGGAAUCUGCCCUUGGGUACGGAAUAACAGCGAGAAAUUGCUGCUAAUACCGUAUAAUGACGUAAGUCCAAAGAUUUAUCGCCCAGGGAUGAGCCCGCGUAGGGUUAGCUUGUUGGUGAGGUAAAAGCUCACCAAGGCGACGAUCCUUAGCUGGCUGAGAGGAUGAUCAGCCACACUGGGACUGAGACACGGCCCAGACUCCUACGGGAGGCAGCAGUGGGGAAUAUUGGACAAUGGGCAAAGCCUGAUCCAGCAAUGCCGCGUGAGUGAUGAAGGCCUUAGGGUU
This 366-nucleotide ribosomal RNA is filed under the name uncultured bacterium. RNAcentral's name for it is "bacterial SSU rRNA". It matches the Rfam family "Bacterial small subunit ribosomal RNA", at positions 29 to 424 of the family's 1533-position model. The record is from RNAcentral.